RNAcentral lists this long non-coding RNA (545 nucleotides) under Phoenix dactylifera (date palm). Its description in RNAcentral is "long non-coding RNA (PDAC_LNC018712)". Lineage: Eukaryota; Viridiplantae; Streptophyta; Magnoliopsida; Arecales; Arecaceae. The record is from RNAcentral.
UGAGGAAUUUAUGGCGAAGUUCUGGAUUGGGCACAGGCGUAAACUAACUCUGGCUGAUGAAUCGAACUCUCGUGACCUAGCAGACCUUCCAGAAAUAGAAUGAGUAUCGAGGAUCACCCAAAAAAGAAAUACAGGAAAUUGGACGGCUGAUAAGAAGUGGACAGCGAGGGAUCACCAUUGGAUUGAUUGUGCUGAUCCUGAGCAUCCUCCUCCAUUUCUGGGCGAGGCCCUGUCAGAUUGGAUCACUGGUUCUGCAAAUUUUCAGUUUUUCUUUUAUUUUUACCAGUGAUGGAGGUUGAGAAAAAAAAAUGGCGGUGAGAUACUCGUCUGAUGAGAUGAAGCAGGAGAAGCGAAAAAAAAGAGACUUACUCGGCUUUCUCGGGGCGGGAGAUCAGGAACUACUGGGAUGGUUUUCUUUACAGGGGGAGAGGCCGAGGCCGAGGCCGAGACCGAGCUGGGGAUGGGAAGAGAGGAGAGGAGGCAAGAGCACACAUUAGCGACCUCUUUUUAUUGGUCUGUCGUUCCAGAAGAUUCCUCUCAUUCUU